Molecule: long non-coding RNA, 629 nt
Filed under: Pan troglodytes (chimpanzee)
Lineage: Eukaryota; Metazoa; Chordata; Mammalia; Primates; Hominidae
Description: lincRNA
Source: RNAcentral
AUGAUGCACAGAAAAAUGCCAACCCUGGUUCCACUGGCACAAGCUUCACCUUCAUUCACUGGAGCCUCAGCCCAUAGCCACCCAGGGAGGCAGGCAGGGUGGUGUUAACCUUCCCAUCUCACAAAUGAGAAAACUGAAUUGGCAUAUAAAUGAUUUGUACAUGGUUAAGAGUUAAGACUUGAACCCAGGACUUCUGACCAACUCCAGUACUUUUUUUUUGCAAGAAUUUAUGUUCUGAAAAGAUCUCAAGCUAACCCACAUGGCCUGGACAGCAGCCUUUUCCACUUGCCUCCUCCAACCUGCAGUCUGAAUUCCAUUACCAGGACAGGGCUUGCCCCAGGGAGGGGACCUCCUUCUAGAGCAUUCAAUGAAGCUGCAAGAUUGAGAAGAGUAUUCUGCAUCUUUUUAAAUGACAAAAUAAACUGUUCAGGUAUCCACUGUUAAGGUAGAGGGGAAUGUGGUGUUGCAAGAAGAAAAUUGCCCUGCUAGCACAGAUAUGAGAAGACAACAACUCCCAGAGCAUGCAGUCAGCACCAUUACUUUCCCUUAACUCCCCAAGGUGCCCUCCUUGCAUUUAUCUUUCUCUCCUACAUUGACCUUCACUGGAGAAUAAAAAUUAGAGACAGUGA